AUGGAGCCCCGGGCUGCCGCGGCGGGCGAGCCGGAGCCGGCGGCGGCGUCCUCCUCCUUCCAGGCCCGGCUCUGGAAGAACCUGCAACUGGGGGUGGGCAGGAGCAAGGGCGGCGGGGGCGGGCGCGCGGGGGGUCCGGAGCGCCGCACUGCGGACACCCCUUCGACCUCCCCGCCACCCCCGGUGGGCACACCGGACGCACCGGCCGGCGGGAGUGGUGCAGGCAGCAGGUGGAGCGGCUUCAAGAAGCGGAAGCAAGUGCUGGACCGAGUCUUCUCCUCCUCGCAGCCCAACCUGUGCUGCUCCUCGCCGGAGCCCCUAGAGCCCCGCGGCACCGGCAGAGCAGAGCAGGGGUCCACGCUACGCCGCCGGAUCCGCGAGCAUUUGCUACCUGCCGGAAAGGGGCCCGCGGUGGCCACGGGAGCAGCGGGAGGGACGCCUCCUGGCGGACGCUCCCCAGACUCAGCUCCUUCCUCUUCCUCCGCCUCAUCCUCCCUGUCCUCCUCGCCCCAGCCUCCCCCGAGGGGUGACCGCGCCCGAGAUGAGGGUGAACGGCGUCAGGGCCCCGGGGCGCACUUGUGCCAUCAGAAGAGCUCCUCUCUGCCGGGCACCGCCUGCCUGGAGCAGCUGCUGGAGCCGCCGCCUCCUUCCGCAGAGCCAGCGGGGAGUCCCGUGGAGUCUCGGGCCCCGGAGACGGGCGAGGAGCGCGGCAGCAGCCAGCUCUCUUCCCAUUGCCGAGCCCAGUUGGAUGCUUGCUGACAGAGAGCCAGCAGUCUGAGAUGGGUAAGGAGAGGACAAGGAUUGGAUUUGCCAGCAGACAUCUGCCAAGCAGCACAGGGAUUGGGCCGUGCCCCGCUUCCAGGUGGGGGAAAACUUUCUUCCAG
This 884-nucleotide long non-coding RNA is filed under the name Rhinopithecus bieti (black snub-nosed monkey). Its description in RNAcentral is "lncRNA (ENSRBIG00000046212.1)". Lineage: Eukaryota; Metazoa; Chordata; Mammalia; Primates; Cercopithecidae. The record is from RNAcentral.